Molecule: transfer RNA, 73 nt
Filed under: Fusarium falciforme
Lineage: Eukaryota; Fungi; Ascomycota; Sordariomycetes; Hypocreales; Nectriaceae
Description: tRNA-Asp
Rfam family: tRNA
About the family: Transfer RNA (tRNA) molecules are approximately 80 nucleotides in length. Their secondary structure includes four short double-helical elements and three loops (D, anti-codon, and T loops). Further hydrogen bonds mediate the characteristic L-shaped molecular structure. tRNAs have two regions of fundamental functional importance: the anti-codon, which is responsible for specific mRNA codon recognition, and the 3' end, to which the tRNAs corresponding amino acid is attached (by aminoacyl-tRNA synthetases). tRNAs cope with the degeneracy of the genetic code in two manners: having more than one tRNA (with a specific anti-codon) for a particular amino acid; and 'wobble' base-pairing, i.e. permitting non-standard base-pairing at the 3rd anti-codon position.
Source: RNAcentral
UCCGUGAUAGUUUAAUGGUCAGAAUGGGCGCUUGUCGCGUGCCAGAUCGGGGUUCAAUCUCCCGCUCGCGGAG